This is a long non-coding RNA of Eptesicus fuscus (big brown bat), 214 nucleotides long. RefSeq lists it as uncharacterized. The record is from RefSeq and is a predicted model, not a curated record. The transcript is spliced from 2 exons. Lineage: Eukaryota; Metazoa; Chordata; Mammalia; Chiroptera; Vespertilionidae.
CAUGUCAGGGCUCUUAUCACAGCUGCAGCAAUCCACAAAUCACAUUUCUGCAGUCCUCGGCUUACGUCGGAAUCUACGUAUGUUGUCGUUUUCGUGGUUACAUCGCUAUCUCCCAUUGAUUUAUAAAAAGAAAAGUUCUGUCAUUUCAAUGUAUGUACAUAUGUGCUUUAUGUUUUUUAUUAUUCAUUUACCAUAAAUAAAGAUCAGGAAUUGG